This 19-nucleotide small nuclear RNA is filed under the name Arabidopsis thaliana (thale cress). RNAcentral's name for it is "snRNA_04474". The record is from RNAcentral. Lineage: Eukaryota; Viridiplantae; Streptophyta; Magnoliopsida; Brassicales; Brassicaceae.
AUUUGAAUAUUCAAUAUAU